RNAcentral lists this ribosomal RNA (253 nucleotides) under uncultured bacterium. RNAcentral's name for it is "partial 16S ribosomal RNA". It matches the Rfam family "Bacterial small subunit ribosomal RNA", at positions 524 to 776 of the family's 1533-position model. The record is from RNAcentral.
UACGAAGGGGGCUAGCGUUGCUCGGAAUUACUGGGCGUAAAGGGCGCGUAGGCGGGUCGUUAAGUUGGGGGUGAAAGCCCAGGGCUCAACCCUGGAAUUGCCUUCAAUACUGGCGACCUUGAGUUUGGAAGAGGGUCGCGGAAUUCCCGGUGUAGAGGUGAAAUUCGUGGAUAUCGGGAGGAACACCAGUGGCGAAGGCGGCGACCUGGUCCGAGACUGACGCUGAGGCGCGAAAGCGUGGGGAGCAAACAGG